UACGUAGGGUCCGAGCGUUGUCCGGAAUUAUUGGGCGUAAAGGGCUCGUAGGCGGUUUGUCGCGUCGGGCGUGAAAACACGGGGCUUAACCCCGUGCCUGCUUCCGAUACGGGCAGACUAGAGGUAUGCAGGGGAGAACGGAAUUCCUGGUGUAGCGGUGAAAUGCGCAGAUAUCAGGAGGAACACCGGUGGCGAAGGCGGUUCUCUGGGCAGUACCUGACGCUGAGGAGCGAAAGCAUGGGGAGCGAACAGG
This 253-nucleotide ribosomal RNA is filed under the name uncultured bacterium. Its description in RNAcentral is "partial 16S ribosomal RNA". It matches the Rfam family "Bacterial small subunit ribosomal RNA", at positions 524 to 776 of the family's 1533-position model. The record is from RNAcentral.